Molecule: ribosomal RNA, 254 nt
Filed under: uncultured bacterium
Lineage: Bacteria
Description: partial 16S ribosomal RNA
Rfam family: Bacterial small subunit ribosomal RNA
Source: RNAcentral
GAUCCUGGCUCAGGACGAACGCUGGCGGCGUGCUUAACACAUGCAAGUCGAACGGACUUUCCAGGACGGAAUCCUUCGGGAGGAAGACCUGGCGAGUUAGUGGCGGACGGGUGAGUAACGCGUGGAUAAUCUGCCCAAUAGACCGGGACAACAGUUGGAAACGACUGCUAAUACCGGAUAAAGUAGCUUUGCGGCAUCGCAGAGUUACCAAAGGAGGCCUCUUAACAAUGCUCCCGCUGUUGGAUGAGUCCGCG